CCUACGGGAGGCUGCAGUCGAGAAUCAUUCACAAUGGGGGAAACCCUGAUGGUGCGACGCCGCGUGGGGGAAUGAAGGUCUUCGGAUUGUAAGCACCUGUCAUGUGGGGGCAAAUUAAAAAGAUAGUACCACAAGAGAAAGAGGCGGCUAACUCGGUGCCAGCAGCCGCGGUAAUACAGAGGUCUCAAGCGUUGUUCGGAAGCACUGGGCGUAAAGCGUGCGUAGGCUGUUUCGUAAGUCGUGUGUGAAAGGCGCGGGCUCAACCCGCGGACGGCACAUGAUACUGCGAGACUAGAGUAAUGGAGGGGGAACCGGAAUUCUCGGUGUAGCAGUGAAAUGCGUAGAGAUCGAGAGGAAUACUCGUGGCGAAGGCGGGUUCCUGGACAUUAACUGACGCUGAGGUACGAAGGCCAGGGGAGCGAAAGGGAUUAGAUACCCGGGUAGUC
RNAcentral lists this ribosomal RNA (446 nucleotides) under uncultured bacterium. RNAcentral describes it as "partial 16S ribosomal RNA". It matches the Rfam family "Bacterial small subunit ribosomal RNA", at positions 338 to 795 of the family's 1533-position model. The record is from RNAcentral.